GGGCGAGUGGUGGAACUGGUAGACACGCUAGGUUCAGGGUCUAGUGCUCGCAGGAGCAUGGGGGUUCAAAUCCCCCCUCGCCCACCA
This 87-nucleotide transfer RNA is filed under the name Thermoleophilia bacterium. Its description in RNAcentral is "tRNA-Leu". It matches the Rfam family "tRNA". From Rfam's summary of the family: Transfer RNA (tRNA) molecules are approximately 80 nucleotides in length. Their secondary structure includes four short double-helical elements and three loops (D, anti-codon, and T loops). Lineage: Bacteria; Bacillati; Actinomycetota; Thermoleophilia. The record is from RNAcentral.